Molecule: transfer RNA, 68 nt
Filed under: Graffilla buccinicola
Lineage: Eukaryota; Metazoa; Platyhelminthes; Rhabdocoela; Graffillidae
Description: tRNA-Ser
Rfam family: tRNA
About the family: Transfer RNA (tRNA) molecules are approximately 80 nucleotides in length. Their secondary structure includes four short double-helical elements and three loops (D, anti-codon, and T loops).
Source: RNAcentral
AGGGUGUUAGUUUAAGUGGUAAAAUAUUAAGCUUCUAACUUGAUUUUGGGCUUUAAGCCCACACCUUU